Molecule: long non-coding RNA, 2911 nt
Filed under: Malus domestica (apple)
Lineage: Eukaryota; Viridiplantae; Streptophyta; Magnoliopsida; Rosales; Rosaceae
Description: long non-coding RNA (MDOM_LNC006792)
Source: RNAcentral
ACCCAAGCUAAAUAGAAUUGGUUGGAGAACCUAUCCAGUUACAAUUACAAUGCAAUACGGUCAUUCUCUAAUACAAUACUCUUAAUCACAUUGUUUGAGUGAUAGUUUGUAUCAUGUCUACUAUCCAAUGUGAUACUUCUCUAUAUGAUUCAAUUGAAUAUGAUUUGGAACAUACUUCCAAAGUCAUAUUCGUAUGCUUUGGGCAAAGACUCCUAAAUCAUAUCUUAGAGUAUUCUCAUUCCACCAUGGAAGGUUAGAGAUUCCUUGUUGUGCAUUCAUAUGCCUACAUGACUAGAUAGCUUGACCCCAACAAUGCCGUGGACACUCUCGAUGGAAUGCCUUUGACAUGAUCAAAGAUCAAGGACCUAACCAUUAGACAUCUAUGAUGCCUCAAGUCAAAGGACUACUUUGCAUAUUGCAACUUACGAGUUCUUACAUGACAUGUAUGUUCGAACUUUCUUUUGAUCGUUGUUCAGUGUACUCAAUUACUCUUUCAAGCACCUAUGUGUUUGUCUUAGUGUCCAACACUAAAUGACUAGAAACUAGUCAUACUCAUGCUUGAGUUGACAUAACACAUACUAACCUUAGCGGAUUGUCAAUGCCCAAUUGGCAAUCCUAUGGCUAGGAACGUUUUAGGAAUGAACAUAAGAGAAAGGUCUCGUUAAUCUAACUUAUUUAAAUCACUUCUCUCUUAGAUCAAAUACAUUCCUUGGAUUCCCUUAUUGCUUAAACACAUGAUACAAUAAAUAAUGAUUAACAAUAAGCUUUGCCCUUAAUGAUACAAUGUUGGUUAGCAAAAAUAAUGAUGAGAGAAUAACGCUUUAGUCAUUUACAACUCUUGUAAUUACCCAUCUAGUUUGGCCUCUAGAGAAUGAUGCCUCACAAUGAUAUGAUGUUGGCACCAUUGCACUUAGUUAAGUUAUUCCCACCAUGCUAGUUCGUGUAGGGGUUCAAGAAUAGCCUCACAAUGAUAUGAUGUCGGCCAUCCUCGUUGCCUACCUCACCACAUCAUGUAUGUACAUAUGGACUCCUCCUGAAUGUAAGCACAUAUAUUGAACUUCCCCAUGAUAGGGUGAAGCCGGUGUAGGAGUCACAAACGAUUGGAGCCCACCAUGGUGGAAGGCCUACGAAGAGAUGUUCAAAGCAUCUCUCGCUUAUCAACUUAAUAUUCGUUUUGUUGAGGGAGUUGUGUUGGGCUACAUCAAUUUUAUUUUAAUCUUAUUAAAAGAACUUGGGCCUAUCACAACCAUUGGUCCAAGUUAAUAUGAAUUAGUAGUAUAUAAUACUCCCACUAUUUCGAUGAAACAAGCGAGACUAUAUGGAACUACUAACGAAUGCAUUGCAUCCUCAUAUGGACUAUAUAGUCAUAUUAGGUCUUAGGAUGAUUAUGAACCGUUUGAUUUGAUCCAACACGAGCAUUGUGUUGGACCUUGGGUUUAAGGUAGAUAGUUGUUGAUUUUAGUUACGCGUUUAAUCUAAUUAAACCAUGAUUUCCUAUUGGGCGUUGGACCCAACUAUUCCAAUUUGCAUACAUAUAAACAAAAAGGAAUACAUGAAAUAAAGAGAAGGGCUUAUGCCCUUUCUUUUACAAAAAAUUAGAAGGACUUAUGUCCUUUUACAACAAAUUUGAACUAAUCAAAUUACAUUCAAAUCUAAACUACUUAACCCAAACAUUCACAAUGUAAAGUGGCCAAUCACAUAGCUCAAUUAUCGAGGCAUUUGGUUCAUAAUCACCCUUUUCUUAAUCAAUCAAAUUAACUAAGAAAACAACUUAAACAAUUGGUUUUCGGAUUCAUAGAAUUGAUUUAAAUGGAACUAAAUGAAAUGAAAAUCCAAUUCUCAUUAAAGAGACAAAACCAUUUUGUUCUCAUCAUCUUUUGGGCCGAAAAACAAUGACCACAACAAUUGGGCCAUAAUGUUAAAACAUAAACUUUUGGGGUCACUUUGUAAAAACACAAGAGUCCACAACUUCAUGUAAUUACUACUAGAACCCAAAAAUUUCAACAAUAGCAAAAACUUCAUUAAAGCAGCAAAACAAUUUGUCCUUCAGCGUUUUUGGGCUUUAACGAAAAAACGUAAACUUUUGGGCCAAAGUACAAAUACACAAAAGUAUCAAAACUUUAUGUAAUUGCAUAAAAGGCCCCAAAAGUACCCCCAUUAAGGGGUGGCCGGUUUUGGUAGUGAAAAAGGAGGGGGGAAAAGGUUUUGGUGAAAAAUUCAAAAUUUGAAAGUGUUUUGUGCAAGUGGAUAGGUAGGUGAGGAAAAGUUGAUUGGUAUAGGUUGUAAGAAAAUGUUUUGUCAAACAAUAAAGACAUAAAUCAUCCAUCACCAAUUAAUUAUAAACCAAAACUUUAUGAAAAACACCAAACAUUUUGAAUCAAAACUCCAAACCUUUUUGUUCUUGGUAAGAACAUCAAGAAUAUUGAAGAACACACAUGAAAACUCAUAAGAGCUCCAUGAAUGUUUUCACACAAUAAAACUCAAAUUUUCACUACACAAAAGAGGGUUAACAUCCUAGGGUACUUAGGGGGUUCCAAAAAUCACUUUAAAACUGUUUUAACAAGACAAACAUGAAUCCAAAAAUCCACCCUUUGGAUUUGGCCGAAUUUCCCAACAUACAUGGCACCAAAUUUUAGUUCCAAUAUUCAUGCUUAAAUGAACUACAUCUACAACAUUUGAGAUGCUAAAUUUUCAAGCAAAAUUUAUAUUCAAAAAUAAGAACAAAGCUUGUAACAUUUACAACAUUUAAAUAAAUCACAAACCAUGAAAAACACAAAACCCAAAAGGAUUCACCAUAAACUAGACCUAGGCUCUUGAUACCACUUGAAGGAAAAAUUUUGUCCUAACUAAGAACAUGUGAGAAUAUUUGAACACAUAUGCAAACUAUUAACACAUUAAAGUAGGCAUGCAU